AGAGUUUGAUCAUGGCUCAGAGCGAACGCUGGCGGCGUGCUUAACACAUGCAAGUCGAGUGCGCGCCCGUAGCAAUACGGGUGGCGCACGGCGCACGGGUGCGUAACACGUGGGCAAUCUGCCCUCCGAUGGGGAAUAACCCCGCGAAAGCGGGGCUAAUUCCGCAUAACAUUCCUUGAACUACGGUUCGGGGACUCAAA
Molecule: ribosomal RNA, 200 nt
Filed under: uncultured bacterium
Lineage: Bacteria
Description: partial 16S ribosomal RNA
Rfam family: Bacterial small subunit ribosomal RNA
Source: RNAcentral